CAGAGCAGCACCACACCAGCCCUGCCGCUAGUGCAGCCCUCCUCCCUCCACAGCUAUAACCGCACCCCGCAGGCGGGGGCACCCCGGCCGCCCCCUGCCCUCCCCGGCCCCGCAGGAGAGCUCCAAGUUUCACAGACCCCAAAACCCCAAGACCCCAAAGACCCCAAGACCUCCGCCCGCCGCAGCCCCCCGGCCCUCCCGGCGGCCGCCUCGCCCCGGGGCCGGCCCCCUCCGCCGGCGCCUCCCCGCCGCGCUGACACCGGGCGAGGCGGGACGGGGACACCGGGCACCCCUCGCCCCUCUCCGGGCCCACCUGCUCGGCGGCCCGGUGCCGGUGCCGGUGCCGGUGCCGGUGUCGGUGGUGUCGGGGCCGGGGCGGCGCGGUGCGCUCCUCCCCGGGCAGAGGGCGCCAGCCCAUGGGGAAGCCAAAACGUUGCCCAACAGCACAGGGAAAGAUGCCAGUACCCUAUCCCACCACCAAAAGCCAUCCACCUGCUGAACCUCGUCUGCCCUUGUGGCAAGGGCCUGUGCUCGGAGCCUGCUACGUGCCCUCGUUUCUCACCCUCGCGUCCCAGAUUGUGUGCUCAAAAUAAAAAUACGUGAAAAAUUUUGGUUUGUUCUGGAUUUUUUCUUUCAGGCGGUUUCCAGAUGGAAAUGUUAUGGUCUCAUCCCAGAGAGGUCUUCCUUGUUUCUGCCAACGAGGGGGAGUUACUGCCAAGUGACCUCCCAGCCUGCUGGAGGAAUCAGGCACCCACGUUUUGGCAUGCAACAAAUGCUUCAGGAAGGAUGAUGCCACUGAAGAACUGAAAAAUUGUAGUGCAGCCUCUUGUUUCACCAGUAGCCUUCUGUUGGUGCUUUUGGGUGACAGAGAAGCAGGCUCAUUUCCUCUGGUUUUCUCUGGAGACCCUGCUUAGUUGUAGAAAGUUCAUAUCAGGUUUUUCAUUGUAUUGCUUGAUUAUAAAAAGAUCCAGGGAAAUCAACAUCAGUUGGAUACAGGUGAUGGCAUUAUCAGCCUCUGAGACUGGUGGAAAGUCACUGAUGGCCUGUGGCAUGUCUGAUCAUUAGGUUAGGGCCAUGAAAACCCAUGCUCUAGACCUCUCUUCCCAUGCUCUCCUUUCUGACCACAGGUGUGAGCUUGAUGUAUUAUUUAGAAAAUAUCCUUCUGAUGGCUUGUCCGGCUAAAUAACUUUCAGUCCCAAGUAUCUGCCCCAGUUGCCUCCACAGUAGUCAGGGAGCUCUAAACCCAUUUCUGCUGGCCACUAGUUUGAAUUUCAAAGCACAAAGCAAAAUCAAGAGUGCCACGGUCGUGCACUAGAAAAAUAAUGUAACCAUUUCCCUUUUAAAAAAAUACAUAUAAUGCCAAAUUUGGAAAUAGCCUUAUGCCAGUCUUCAGGAGCAUUAUGUUGUUCUCUAGCUAGGAGAUCAGUUUUCUGAGCUUUUGACACCAUCAUUAUUCAUGCAAUUUAAUCUCAGUUGAUAUUUGAUUUUAGAUUACUAAUGCUUUAAAGGACUUUGUUCACCUCUUGGCUUAGAUCACAAGGGGACUUCAGAGGAACAAGCUGCAAGAGAACAUGAAAAAAAAUGGUUUCUUUUUCCUGUUCCUACAACUUUGCUGUCCAGUUCCCAAAUCCUUUCACUUCCCACCUAGGUCCAAGUAGAAACAACAGAGUUUGUACCAUGCAACACUGACCAUUCCAAUCUGUGCAGCUGCACUCAGCUGGUACUGAGAUUAUGCACAGGUCUAGUCUGAAACAGUCAACUUUACUCCCAGGACAGUUCACAUGCAUUUAAUACAGUGAAGUACACAAUACUUGCCACUUGGUUAGUGGCAGCUAGUUUCAGAAACCUGUGGCAUAUUAGACUUUAUUAGAAGAGACCUGCAGGGUUGCAUGCCAAGGAAUUAUAAAAGUCUUCUCUUUCUGUUUCAUUUUGAGGUGAAAAGGGAAAAGGAAUAACUUCCUGGUGCUGUAUAUGAUCACAGGCACUUCUGGAGUGAACAGUGGUAGUAGAAAAGGCCAAAGUCUUCUAUCCAAGACGUUUUGCGAAGGCUAAUGCAGUGAAAUCCAGUUAAAACAAAUGGAAAAAUGCAUAUUACUCAAUAGAUGACUCCUCCUGUUUUUAAAUUGUUCAAUACUAAAUUAUAAUUAUUUUCAGCAAAUAUAUGUGUUUUUUUUUUUUUAAGAACAACUUUCUACACUAAGAAUAUAUCUUCCAAACUCCUUGAUAAUUCCAUGCAAGAAAAAGAGCAAUACCUGAAAUAAGUUGAACAGUUUAGGAUGACAUACAGAGAGUUCCAAGCAGAGGAAGAAGAACCGAAUCUUCUAUUCGGCAUGCUGUUUCUGAUUUUGAUUACAAAGAUUUGGGGUGCUUUGCUGGUAUGUCUCAACAUAAGUACUUGUGAAAGAAAGCACUCAAGAAAAUAUUUUCACAUUUUUUUCAUCUGCAAAAACAGAGAGUUCUGUUGGAUUUGUUAUUUGGAUAAUUUUCCAGAUUACUGGAUCUUUAAUUUGUUGAUAAGAUCCUAGCUAUUAAAAGCUUUAUAGUAUCUGUGAAGGCGAGAGUGCUGUUCAUACAGAUAUCCUCAAUCUUGCUUCAAACUUGACCACCAUAUAGACCAUCUGGUUGCUCUGUGGCUGCAAUUUAGGUCUACACAGGCCAAAAAACCUUCCGAGGACCCAAAACGAGCAGGCAGGUAGCUUGCCUAAGGUGAGUUUUGUGCUGCCUUGGAUCUGCUGCUAGCUGUAACCAGCCUCGGUGGCCUAAAACAAACUUAUUUCUCCAGCAAUACUUGAUCCUGAGAAGAUAGGCUCUUGAGAAGGUCUGAUGUUUCAGCUCUAGCUCAAUGUUUUACCACAUGGGCAAGGUUUUGGGGCUGUUUUUGUUGCUGGUUGGCUAUCAGAAACUGUAAAAUGAGUCUUGAUGCCUUCUGUGAAACCCUCAGUUAAACCUCACUUUAAAAUGUUGUAUUUCCACAUUUUCUUGUCCAUAAGCUUGUAUAUCAUCUAAAAGUCAACAGGGAAAUGUAUAUGAAGGACAUAUGGUAUGUAGUCAGAGCAAAUGCGGUUUCUACUGGUCUCAUCUUUUGUUGUGUCAUUUUAAUUGCUUUAAGGAGCUACUACAUAAAUUUGUUCUGCUUUAAUUAAUUUAAAUAUUUAACUAAAGUAGUUAAAAUGCAAAUGUAUCUGGAAGUUACUGUACAAUGUUUAGUAUUCCCUCAGCUUUGCUUAUGUGGAUUAGUGUUGUACUUCUUGAUCACAUCAAUGAUAUGUACCAAUGGUAAUAUCUUACCCUAAAUCUAGGAAAAAUGCAAUACAUUUGACACAUUAAAAUAUGCUUUAAGACAUAACAAAAAUACCGAUAGGUCAAGGCAUUUUUGCAUUAUCGAAAAAAUACUUUUGCAUUGAAAUGCAUGAAAACUGUAAGCUUUAAUUGCAGAAACAAAAGUGUUUCUUCUUUUUAGCCUGCCAUUUGAUUAUACUUCAAAAUAGCUUCCAACACUUGAAAGUUGUUUUUCAGUAACAGAUUAAACCAUUGUGUUUGAAGACUUUGUUAGCUCUGGUUCCAUGAUUAGAAGAGACACUGCCUUGCAUUAACAGAGAUAUUCACCUGUAUUUGUCUCCAAGUGUUGAUCCUUUUCUUGUUAUCUGUACAAACUCUGUACUUUCCAUUCCAUAGACAGUUAAUAAUAGCUCAAAACCAUAUUUUUGCUCUAAUACAUUUUUAAUAAGGAAUUCCUAAAUGUGACUGGGUUAUUUGCUACAGAACAAUGGAACCAUGUUUACAAAGGCAGUUUAGACUGCAAUACUGAGAAAGUCUGUAGGCAAACAAUUAGCAGAGAUGAUUUCCCUAGAGGGGAAUAUUAGUGUUUACUUUUUUUCUGUGUUUUUAAUCUAAAUCCUAAACCCUUACUCCUGAUCUUGUUGAACAAGCUGUUUGCUGAGUUCAUUGGUAAUGUUGUCUAAGUAUAUUCAGGCUCAUAGUAAAUAAUUAGUACUUACUGUCAGUUCCUUCCAUUAAUUGUAUUUCUUUUCCUUAUUUCUGUUUGUGCUGUGGGGUGUCUUAAAAAGUAUCUCUUAGCAAUAAAGCUCUGCAUUUUCUUCA
This is a long non-coding RNA of Anser brachyrhynchus (Pink-footed goose), 4101 nucleotides long. NCBI's taxonomy places the organism in Eukaryota, Metazoa, Chordata, Aves, Anseriformes, Anatidae. The record is from Ensembl.